Molecule: ribosomal RNA, 245 nt
Filed under: uncultured bacterium
Lineage: Bacteria
Description: partial 16S ribosomal RNA
Rfam family: Bacterial small subunit ribosomal RNA
Source: RNAcentral
UACGGAGGAUCCAAGCGUUAUCCGGAUUCAUUGGGUUUAAAGGGUGCGUAGGUGGAAUAAUAAGUCAGAGGUGAAAGCCUUCAGCUCAACUGAAGAACUGCCUUUGAUACUGUUAUUCUUGAGUAUAGUUGAAGUGGGCGGAAUGUAUCAUGUAGCGGUGAAAUGCUUAGAGAUGAUACAGAACACCGAUAGCGUAGGCAGCUCACUAAGCUAAAACUGACGCUGAGGCACGACAGCGUGGGGAU